AAGGCAGAAGCCCUAAGCUUGCCCAACUGGGCAGAGGGAUCCUCCUCCAGUCGUCGCUGGGAACAAUUUUGAUCUGAUCAGAGCAGCUUGCUUGAAGAUAAACUGAGGGACUUGCCAUAGAGAAUUUAGCGAUCCAACAUACCUAGAAACUUGAACAAAUGGAGACAGCUGGAAAACACUCAGUGGGAGAAUGAGCCUCUUCAUAAGAAAUUCUGUAAAGCUUUGUAACUGAAUCCAAGUGCCUUCUAGCUUAAGCAGAAAGGAGCUAGUGGGUAAGCACUAUAAUCAACUGCAAGGGCCUCUUUUCCAGUUUCAAUGAAUUGAAUUAAUGUUUGUUAUAUCAUUGCUAGUUACUUACUAAGUGUUCUAGAUUGCCUCUGUGUUUUCAUCUGGGUAACGUUUUUCAUGAGUGUGCAAAGAACCUGGUUUAAAAUAAGUUAUGUGCUGAAAUUAAAUAUAUUAAUAUAAAAAACAAUAAAUUAUAUUAAUUUUUGAAAUAAACCCUGCCCAUACUGCUACACAACAUCAAAAGUCGUUUGCUGACUGUAGGCUACAAUGAAAUGGAAUUAAAAUGUUUGAGGUGAGAAUGCUGACUACUCACACUCUGAAUGAAGUCUAGGUUCCUGUUGCUGACUCUGGUCAUUACCAGCAGUUCAGAACAGAAAUUUGUCAUGAACUCUGUUCCACUCUUCAUUGCUUUAGUACUGAAGAGAUAUUUGCCUGCUCAAAAGUGAAGCAACAGGAUGAACCAGUCUACAUUUCUGACUUGACCCUUAAACAAUAGAAAUAUUCCUUUAGAUAAAUGCAAUCUUUAUCAUUAAUAUACUAUACAGGAAAAUCCUUACUGACUGUAAAAGCAAGGCAGCACACAAAGCCAUUUCCCUGGGACUAGGAAUUAUUUGCUAAAGUGUUACAUUGAGAAAUAUCUCUGAUAAGACCAUUUUAUCCUGACACUAGUUUUCUUUUAGCUAAGGCUGUAUUUUCAGUCUCCUCUUUCUCAGGUCCCUCUCACAGAGUAAAUUAGCUCCAACCUAUCUUUACUGUUUCUAGUACAUGAGCCAACUUGAUAAGUGUGCUCAGUACCUCUACACUACUUUUCAGUCUAUGCUUGAGUCAGCAAGAGCUAUUCAGACUUUUCCCUGCAGGACUGACUCCUGUUAAAUGUAGUCAGUGUUUCAGUAGUGUUUUUUGUCUCCAACGGUUGCAGGAUCAAGACAUCAGCUCACAAAAGAGCAGGUGGAAAAACUCAUUAUGGAAUAAAAGAAAGAACUGAAAUAAAAUAAUAUUUUAACCCAUCUU
Molecule: long non-coding RNA, 1299 nt
Organism: Pogoniulus pusillus (Red-fronted tinkerbird)
Lineage: Eukaryota; Metazoa; Chordata; Aves; Piciformes; Lybiidae
Exons: 2
Source: RefSeq, a predicted model, not a curated record